CCUACGGGAGGCAGCAGUGGGGAAUUUUCCGCAAUGGGCGAAAGCCUGACGAGCAAUACCGCGUGAGGGAAGAAAGCCUACUGGGUUGUAAACCUCUUUUUUCAGGGAGGAAAAAAAUGACGUGUACCUGAAGAAUAAGCAUCGGCUAACUCCGUGCCAGCAGCCGCGGUAAGACGGAGGAUGCAAGUGUUAUCCGGAAUUACUGGGCGUAAAGCGUCUGUAGGUGGUUUAAUAAGUCAACUGUUAAAUCUUGAGGCUUAACUUCAAAACAGCAGUCGAAACUAUUAGACUAGAGUAUAGUAGGGGUAAAGGGAAUUUCCAGUGGAGCGGUGAAAUGCGUAGAUAUUGGAAAGAACACCGAUGGCGAAAGCACUUUACUGGGCUAUUACUAACACUCAGAGACGAAAGCUAGGGUAGCAAAUGGGAUUAGAUACCCCAGUAGUCCUAGCUGUAAACAAUGGAUACUAGAUGUUGAACAGAUCGACCUGUGCAGUAUUAAAGCUAACGCGUUAAGUAUCCCGCCUGGGAAGUAUGCUCGCAAGAGUGAAACUCAAAGGAAUUGACGG
RNAcentral lists this ribosomal RNA (566 nucleotides) under uncultured bacterium. RNAcentral's name for it is "bacterial SSU rRNA". It matches the Rfam family "Bacterial small subunit ribosomal RNA", at positions 338 to 916 of the family's 1533-position model. The record is from RNAcentral.